CACGAAGGUAAUGUGUUCUGAACACAUAACAGUAAAAUGUUUAUUGUAGAAUUCAAAAUUUUAAAUUUAAAUGCAUGCUAUAUAUAUCAUGUUGGGUAUAAAAUACCCCCCAGCCGAAGUUCAUGAUGGGAAUGACCCUCCGGGGAUUCUACCGACUUCCGACCUUCGGCGGCAUCUCUCUGAACCUCUCUGACGGCCGAGCCUCCGCAACACUCCCAAAUUUUGUCGAUGGAUAAGCCCCCACC
This 245-nucleotide long non-coding RNA is filed under the name Elaeis guineensis (African oil palm). RNAcentral's name for it is "long non-coding RNA (EGUI_LNC070035)". The record is from RNAcentral. Lineage: Eukaryota; Viridiplantae; Streptophyta; Magnoliopsida; Arecales; Arecaceae.